UACGUAGGGUGCGAGCGUUAAUCGGAAUUACUGGGCGUAAAGCGUGCGCAGGCGGUCUGUUAAGACCGAUGUGAAAUCCCCGGGCUUAACCUGGGAACUGCAUUGGUGACUGGCAGGCUUUGAGUGUGGCAGAGGGAGGUAGAAUUCCACGUGUAGCAGUGAAAUGCGUAGAGAUGUGGAGGAAUACCGAUGGCGAAGGCAGCCUCCUGGGCCAACACUGACGCUCAUGCACGAAAGCGUGGGGAG
Molecule: ribosomal RNA, 246 nt
Filed under: uncultured bacterium
Lineage: Bacteria
Description: partial 16S ribosomal RNA
Rfam family: Bacterial small subunit ribosomal RNA
Source: RNAcentral